This 1943-nucleotide ribosomal RNA is filed under the name Triticum aestivum (bread wheat). Its description in RNAcentral is "partial small subunit ribosomal RNA". Lineage: Eukaryota; Viridiplantae; Streptophyta; Magnoliopsida; Poales; Poaceae. The record is from RNAcentral.
CUCGACCCGGCCACCCCCACCCGAGGCAGAGACCGCGGCCGCCACUGGCCCAUCCCCACAUACCACACACGUAUCCCCACCUCCUCAGAUCCGAGCGCCAUGGCCGCCCACCCCCACCCGCAUUGCUAUGCCCACCGCUAGCGCCUCCAUGGCCGCCGCCGCCUCCUGCCGGAGCCCGCUCGUCUGGUUCUUCUCCCUCGCCGCCGCGCUCUUCUUCGCUUCCUGGUACCUCCUCCUCGACUCCGCCGCCGCCCCGGCCGCGCUCGAUGCCCGCCGCCAGGGCCUCCGCCCGGCCUCUCCAGGCAGAAAAUGCGAUCCGGAUAAGGCGCUGCUGCGCGUCUACAUGUACGACCUGCCCCUUGAGUUCCACUUCGGCAUGCUCGACUGGGAGCCCGGGAGCGGCGGUGGCGGCCUUUGGCCGGAUGUCAGGCACGGCGUGCCGGAGUACCCCGGAGGGCUCAACCUGCAGCACAGCAUCGAGUACUGGCUCACGCUGGACCUCCUCGCCUCCGAGCAGGGCGCGCCCACGCCGUGCAACGCCGUCCGGGUGCGCGACCCCGCCAGGGCCGACGUCGUCUUCGUGCCCUUCUUCGCCUCCCUCAGCUUCAACCGCCACUCCAAGGUCGUGCCGCCCGCGCGGACCAGCGAGGACCGGGCGCUGCAGCGGAGGCUGAUCGAGUUCCUCGCCGCGCGGCCCGAGUGGCGGAGGUCCGGCGGAAGGGACCACGUCGUGCUCGCGCACCACCCCAACGGGAUGCUCGACGCGCGCUACAAGCUCUGGCCCUGCGUCUUCGUGCUCUGCGACUUCGGGAGGUACCCACACAGCGUGGCCAACAUCGACAAGGACGUCAUCGCCCCGUACCGCCAUGUCGUCGACAACUUCUUCAAUGACUCCACCGGCUACCACGACCGGCCGACCUUACUCUACUUCCAAGGCGCCAUUUACAGGAAAGAUGGUGGUUUCAUCCGACAGGAACUUUACUAUCUUCUCAAAGAUGAGAAAGAUGUGCACUUCUCAUUUGGAAGUGUGGCUGGUAAUGGGAUUGAGGAAUCGACACGGGGUAUGAGGGCAUCCAAAUUCUGCCUCAACAUUGCAGGGGAUACGCCAUCCUCCAACCGUCUAUUCGAUUCCAUAGUCAGUCACUGUGUGCCCGUCAUUAUCAGCGAUGAGAUUGAACUCCCAUUUGAAGAUAUCCUUGACUACUCCAAGUUCUGCAUCAUAGUGCGUGGUGCAGAUGCUGUCAAGAAGGGCUUUCUGAUAAAUCUGAUCAAAGGGGUAAGCCCAGAAGAGUGGACAAGCAUGUGGAACAAACUGAGGGAGGUAGAAGGGCACUUUGAAUACCAGUACCCAUCUCAGCCUGACGAUGCUGUCCAGAUGAUCUGGAAGACCAUAGCUCGAAAGGUGCCCUCAAUUCGGCUGAAGGUCAACAGAUUACAAAGAUUUUCUCGGUCUGAAGCUAACAAAACAAACGAUUCUCCAGCAAGAUCUUCCUGGCUAGAAAAUCAAACUCUCCCAGCUGGUUUUCAGUCCUCUGCGAGAGGAGAGUGCCCAUAGUGAAGCUGAGCUUGAACCUCAAAGCCGGGAGCGACAGCUACAGGAGAUUAAUGGAGUAAAGUACUCCUGAUACAGAUUACCACCACAAUAUUACAGAUCCGAGGGCCCGAUUUUUGUUCUCCUCCAAUUUUCAUCGAAGAUGUGCUCAACCGUGUCGAUUAGGGACAAUAACUUUUUGUAUCAGAAUCUGUAUAUCCUAGGCAGUAGCGUGAUUACUGAUCAUUUCCACUCUAGUCUUAUACUACUUCACAGCUGUAACUCCCCAUUCUCAGAGCAAGAGUUUUUAUGGUUCCUUGCUCGAUUCUAGCCAUGUGAUAUCUGCAGAUGACCGGCAUAUGUCGUCCUUCCCUUCCAUUAUUGGGUCAUGACAAGAAUUGCUGCUGUUCAG